GAUCAAAAACUAAAUUAUUAUAAAUUUAGACAUAAAAACAACAAGCAUUACAUGGUACUAUACCAUUUCAUCAGAGAUAUAGCACUAACAAAUGCCUAUAUUUUAUACCAAGAAACUAGAUAUGAUACAAGCAUGUCUUCCAAACUAUUUCGGAAGAUAGUAAUAGAGGGACUGAUAGCACCAUACAUGAAAAAUAGAAACCCAACAAGAACAGUAAAUAUAGGUGGUGAUCGUGAAUCGCUACAAUCUGUUUAAUCAUUAUCCAGCAUUAACCGAUCCUAAAAAGUUCAGAGACUGUGCUUAUUGUUCCAACAGAAAAACGGAUGGUGGAAGAAAACGGACAAGAUAUUAUUGUCCAGGAUGCAACAAGAAACCGGCACUGUCCUGAAUGUUUUCAGAUGUAUCACAGAUAAUCAGGUGUGAUAUACUCUAAAUAAAGAUAAUUUUACUUCCAGGUUUUUCUGGUUGUAAAUUCCUAUUGAAAAGAUGGUAGAAAUUAUGAAAUCAAAGAGAAUAAUUUCCUUUUGGAUUUAUUCCUGUGUCAAACUAUUUCCUUUUGGAUUUAUUCCAAUGUCAAACCCCCUUUUCUCUGGGAUUAAUUCCCAUUGAAAUGAUGGCAGAAAUUAUUAAAUCAAAGAAUAAUUCAAUCUCAGAUUAAUCUGAAAUUUAUAUCUAUAAUUAAGGAGAAAUUUUCAAUAUUUUCAGAAUUACUCUGUAAUUAGUUUAAUAAAAGGAAUGUCAA
RNAcentral lists this long non-coding RNA (742 nucleotides) under Androctonus crassicauda. Lineage: Eukaryota; Metazoa; Arthropoda; Arachnida; Scorpiones; Buthidae. The record is from RNAcentral.